AAACUAGCGUUGAACAAGUCAGUAGCGUGAUGACCAACCAAUAGAGAGCUGGGAAUGCUGGAAACCGGUGGUGGUGAUGACGUGAACGUAGCUUGCGAGCUGAAAGGCUGAACUAAUAGUAGGCCUUUUCCGGAGCACUCUCCGUUAACAAAGAAGUUAAGUGGGGCAUAAAUGCCCAAUUUAGGUGGUACCGCGAAGACUCUUCGUCCUAAUU
This 214-nucleotide non-coding RNA is filed under the name Levilactobacillus brevis. RNAcentral describes it as "Lactobacillus brevis T-box sequence". It matches the Rfam family "T-box leader". Rfam says of the family: Uncharged tRNA acts as the effector for transcription antitermination of genes in the T-box leader family. T-boxes are found upstream of many aminoacyl-tRNA synthetase genes and some amino acid biosynthetic genes usually in Gram-positive bacteria. The record is from RNAcentral. Lineage: Bacteria; Bacillati; Bacillota; Bacilli; Lactobacillales; Lactobacillaceae.